UACGUAGGUCCCGAGCGUUAUCCGGAUUUAUUGGGCGUAAAGCGAGCGCAGGCGGUUGGAUAAGUCUGAAGUUAAAGGCUGUGGCUUAACCAUAGUAUGCUUUGGAAACCGUUCAACUUGAGUGCAGAAGGGGAGAGUGGAAUUCCAUGUGUAGCGGUGGAAUGCGUAGAUAUAUGGAGGAACACCGGUGGCGAAAGCGGCUCUCUGGUCUGUAACUGACGCUGAGGCUCGAAAGCGUGGGUAGCGAACAGG
This 252-nucleotide ribosomal RNA is filed under the name uncultured bacterium. Its description in RNAcentral is "partial 16S ribosomal RNA". It matches the Rfam family "Bacterial small subunit ribosomal RNA", at positions 524 to 776 of the family's 1533-position model. The record is from RNAcentral.